ACGAACGCUGGCGGCGUGCUUAACACCUGCAAGUCGAACGGAAAGGCCCUGCUUUUGUGGGGUGCUCGAGUGGCGAACGGGUGAGUAACACGUGAGUAACCUGCCCUUGACUUUGGGAUAACUUCAGGAAACUGGGGCUAAUACCGGAUAGGAGCUCCUGCUGCCUGGUGGGGGUUUGAAAGUUUCGGCGGUUGGGGAUGGACUCGCGGCUUAUCAGCUUGUUGGUGGGGUAGUGGCUUACCAAGGCUUUGACGGGUAGCCGGCCUGAGAGGGUGACCGGCCACAUUGGGACUGAGAUACGGCCCAGACUCCUACGGGAGGCAGCAGUGGGGAAUAUUGCACAAUGGGCGGAAGCCUGAUGCAGCAACGCCGCGUGCGGGAUGACGGCCUUCGGGUUGUAAACCGCUUUCGCCUGUGACGAAGCGUGAGUGACGGUAAUGGGUAAAGAAGCACCGGCUAACUACGUG
Molecule: ribosomal RNA, 467 nt
Filed under: uncultured bacterium
Lineage: Bacteria
Description: partial 16S ribosomal RNA
Rfam family: Bacterial small subunit ribosomal RNA
Source: RNAcentral